Molecule: unclassified non-coding RNA, 861 nt
Filed under: Hevea brasiliensis (rubber tree)
Lineage: Eukaryota; Viridiplantae; Streptophyta; Magnoliopsida; Malpighiales; Euphorbiaceae
Source: RNAcentral
CAGAGAUGCAAUACAUCAGUAGAAGAAGCUCAAGAAUUAUUGAAAUGUAGCAAUCCGCAACAAAAGCUGCAAAGUAUUGGGCAAGAACUUCCUAGCAAACAGGAAGCAGAUAGAGGAAGUAUUCCCAUUGUAAGUACAAUUCCUACCAAACCUAAUUCGAUCCAAGAACCCAACAGAAAUAGCUUGCUUCGCAAAUUUUCCAGGGUGUGGACCACUCUUGGACCAAUCAACCCAAGUAACGCUCCUGUUAGUGUUCUCCUGUGGACAAACAACAUUAACAAGUGUAGGAAUGUAAUGCUCGUCCAUGUAACAUGGAGGGCUACAAUGCUGUCUAAACACAGGAUAGUACUUUGUGUCUGAAACUAUUUCAAUGGCGAGCCUGCGAUUAACCUCAAACCACUGAGACCCUUUACGCCAAUUAGAAAUGUUGAUUCUUGGAGACAUUUUGGGAUUGUAUCGGCCCCGACCCACCUUCCUUGGAUCGUCAUAGGAACCUGCGAAGCUGUUUCUAGCAUUGAUGAGGUAGUUGUAUAUUGUUGAGAAGUUGAAUAAAGGAAUGCAAGUCUCUGAGACAAGUACAAAUCUCUCAUUCGAUAAGUCAAGGAGAGCGUUUGCUAAAAGUCUCCUCUCUGCGUCAAUCAUGGAUGCUCUUCCCCAUUCCACAGGCUUGCUUGGAAUUCUUCUUUCAUGGAAAACAGAGCUUUCAGGAAAAGUAUCAUUGAACGAGGGGUGAGGAUGAAUAUAUAUACUGUAAAGCCCUUCAUGUCCUUUAAAGAACUUUUCCCAUAAAGCAGCCAGAGGCAAAGGUCCCUUCGUCAAAAACAUGAAAGCAACCUUAGGCUUAGGGACAAGUUCUUGAGG